RNAcentral lists this ribosomal RNA (203 nucleotides) under uncultured fungus. Its description in RNAcentral is "partial small subunit ribosomal RNA". The stretch from base 95 to 203 matches the Rfam family "Eukaryotic small subunit ribosomal RNA", at positions 749 to 864 of the family's 1831-position model. Lineage: Eukaryota; Fungi. The record is from RNAcentral.
GUCCAGUCUGUCACUGCGCCGUUGGCCGGUGCUAGGCUUGGUCAUCCGUAGGGGAAACCAGUGCGGCCUUCAGUGGUCGGCUGGCGGAACCUACAAUUUACUGUGAAAAAAUUAGAGUGUUUCAGGCAGGCAAUCGCUUGGAUACUCCAGCAUGGAAUAAUGGAAUAGGACUUUGGUCUAUUUGUUGGUUUGAGAUCAAAGUA